UACGUAGGGGGCAAGCGUUACUCGGAUUCACUGGGCGUAAAGCGCGUGUAGGCGGCUGGUCAAGCGUGGUGUGAAAUCUCCGGGCUCAACCCGGAAACUGCACCGCGAACUGGCCUGGCUGGAGUGCAGGAGAGGGAAGGGGAAUUCCUAGUGUAGCGGUGAAAUGCGCAGAUAUUAGGAGGAACACCGGUGGCGAAGGCGCCACUCUGGGCCGAAACUGACGCUGAGGAGCGAAAGCGUGGGUAGCAAACAGG
RNAcentral lists this ribosomal RNA (254 nucleotides) under uncultured bacterium. RNAcentral describes it as "partial 16S ribosomal RNA". It matches the Rfam family "Bacterial small subunit ribosomal RNA", at positions 524 to 776 of the family's 1533-position model. The record is from RNAcentral.